CCCUUAGAUGUCCUGGGCCGCACGCGCGCUACACUGAGUGUCUGAGAUACGAGUCUGCCUGGUCCGGCAAGGUCUAGGUAAUCGCUAAAAGACACAUCAUGCUUGGGAUAGAUUAUUGCAAAUAUUAAUCUUGAACGAGGAAUUCCUAGUAAGCGCAAGUCAACAGCUUGCGUUGAUCACGUCCCUGCCCUUUGUACACACCGCCCGUCGCUACUACUGAUUGGAUGUUUAAGCGAGGUUCUCGAACUGCUAGCGACUUAGCUUCGGUGAGGUCGCAGUGUGGGAAGUGAACCUAGCUUUGGUGUCUAGAGGAAGUAAAAGUCGUAACA
RNAcentral lists this ribosomal RNA (329 nucleotides) under uncultured eukaryote. RNAcentral describes it as "partial 18S ribosomal RNA". It matches the Rfam family "Eukaryotic small subunit ribosomal RNA", at positions 1470 to 1796 of the family's 1831-position model. The record is from RNAcentral.